GAUGAACGCUGGCGGCGUGCCUAAUACAUGCAAGUCGAGCGAACGGACGAGAAGCUUGCUUCUCUGAUGUUAGCGGCGGACGGGUGAGUAACACGUGGAUAACCUACCUAUAAGACUGGGAUAACUUCGGGAAACCGGAGCUAAUACCGGAUAAUAUUUUGAACCGCAUGGUUCAAAAGUGAAAGACGGUCUUGCUGUCACUUAUAGAUGGAUCCGCGCUGCAUUAGCUAGUUGGUAAGGUAACGGCUUACCAAGGCAACGAUGCAUAGCCGACCUGAGAGGGUGAUCGGCCACACUGGAACUGAGACACGGUCCAGACUCCUACGGGAGGCAGCAGUAGGGAAUCUUCCGCAAUGGGCGAAAGCCUGACGGAGCAACGCCGCGUGAGUGAUGAAGGUCUUCGGAUCGUAAAACUCUGUUAUUAGGGAAGAACAUAUGUGUAAGUAACUGUGCACAUCUUGACGGUACCUAAUCAGAAAGCCACGGCUAACUACGUGCCAGCAGCCGCGGUAAUACGUAGGUGGCAAGCGUUAUCCGGAAUUAUUGGGCGUAAAGCGCGCGUAGGCGGUUUUUUAAGUCUGAUGUGAAAGCCCACGGCUCAACCGUGGAGGGUCAUUGGAAACUGGAAAACUUGAGUGCAGAAGAGGAAAGUGGAAUUCCAUGUGUAGCGGUGAAAUGCGCAGAGAUAUGGAGGAACACCAGUGGCGAAGGCGACUUUCUGGUCUGUAACUGACGCUGAUGUGCGAAAGCGUGGGGAUCAAACAGGAUUAGAUACCCUGGUAGUCCACGCCGUAAACGAUGAGUGCUAAGUGUUAGGGGGUUUCCGCCCCUUAGUGCUGCAGCUAACGCAUUAAGCACUCCGCCUGGGGAGUACGACCGCAAGGUUGAAACUCAAAGGAAUUGACGGGGACCCGCACAAGCGGUGGAGCAUGUGGUUUAAUUCGAAGCAACGCGAAGAACCUUACCAAAUCUUGACAUCCUUUGACAACUCUAGAGAUAGAGCCUUCCCCUUCGGGGGACAAAGUGACAGGUGGUGCAUGGUUGUCGUCAGCUCGUGUCGUGAGAUGUUGGGUUAAGUCCCGCAACGAGCGCAACCCUUAAGCUUAGUUGCCAUCAUUAAGUUGGGCACUCUAAGCUGACUGCCGGUGACAAACCGGAGGAAGGUGGGGAUGACGUCAAAUCAUCAUGCCCCUUAUGAUUUGGGCUACACACGUGCUACAAUGGACAAUACAAAGGGCAGCGAAACCGCGAGGUCAAGCAAAUCCCAUAAAGUUGUUCUCAGUUCGGAUUGUAGUCUGCAACUCGACUACAUGAAGCUGGAAUCGCUAGUAAUCGUAGAUCAGCAUGCUACGGUGAAUACGUUCCCGGGUCUUGUACACACCGCCCGUCACACCACGAGAGUUUGUAACACCCGAAGCCGGUGGAGUAACCUUUUAGGAGCUAGCCGUCGAAGGUGGGACAAAUGAUUGGGGUGAAGUCGUAACAAGGUAGCCGUAUCGGAAGG
Molecule: ribosomal RNA, 1504 nt
Filed under: uncultured bacterium
Lineage: Bacteria
Description: 16S ribosomal RNA
Rfam family: Bacterial small subunit ribosomal RNA
Source: RNAcentral